This is a long non-coding RNA of Mus spicilegus (steppe mouse), 1547 nucleotides long. The record is from Ensembl. NCBI's taxonomy places the organism in Eukaryota, Metazoa, Chordata, Mammalia, Rodentia, Muridae.
CUGUUCUUAAACCUUAGGUUUUAGAAGCUUCUUUUAGAACCUACCUUUCAUUCUCAGACUCCAGCUAUUGAGUGACAACACUCAGAGUUCCAUCAGUUGCCUUGCUGGCAACCAUGAAAGGCUUCUCACAGUGAGCCAAGCCCCAUCUGUGGAACCCUGCAGGAGCCACCCUUGCCACCUUAAUUCAGAGGAGUUGAAGGUCAAAGGCUGAUCUUCUUUCUCCUGCCCUGCAACCUCUUCUCUCAUCCCCUCCCCUCCUCCUUCUUAAUUUUCAGAUAGGGUAUAGUGUAUCUCUAGCUGUCCUUAAACUGCCUUUAUAGCUGAAAAUGACCUCAGACAAACUUCUGAUCCUCUGCCUCUACUUCCUGAAUGAUGAUAUUGCAUGUGCUACCAUAGUUGAUUUACAUCAUGCUGGAUACCAAAUUCAGGGCUUCUGAUAUACCAGGCAAGCACACUAUGAACUAGUCCACAUCCCAGAUUCUCUCAUUCCAUCAGGAGGAUUAUGCUGUCAUAUGUGGGAUCUCAGGCAGAAGUGAAGGGGCCCAAGAUGAAGCCCAAAUAAAGGGCUCUAGGUUUGCAAAGCACUGGGCAGGUCAUCAUAUUCCAAGAGCAGCUCCCUGGGCACAGUCCACACUUAAGACCCUAAGCAAAUCUCCUGGCUUUCCUUGGCAAACUAUGAUGUCCAGAACUUAUCUCUGCUUUCAGUUUUCACCCUGACUGAAUUUAAAACAGAAAUUUGGAACUGUUACAAUGACCAGCAGUUUCCAGUUCCUUAGGGUCUAGUCUCUCUGUUAUCAUCAGCAGUAUGGCUGCAAACCUUUAGACAUGCCUGUUCUGCGAUGAAGAAGCAGUCAGACCCCAUUUGACUCUCUGAAGAUGACUAAGCUCAAAAGGUACCCAUUUUUCUUAUAAGUUAAGAGGUAACAGAGUUGGGGGUGUAGAUCACUGGUGUUUGCUUAAACCCCAUGAGACCCUGAGGUCGAGCCUUGGCACACUCAAAACAAGAUAAAAGUUUUGUUUCCUCCAGUGAUCUUUUGAAAUAUGUUCACCAGGCCCCAUGUUUUCAGCUUUUGUAAAGAGAGGCUGGGAACUUAGCUCAUUAGGUACAGCACUUACCUAACAAGAACUAACUCCUGAGUUGUAUUUCCAACUUCAUUAAAAACUGGUUCAUUCUUGGCUACCUGUUGAUUUUGAGGCCAACCUGGGGCUAUAAGAGACCCAAUCUCAAAAAAAAAAAAAAAAAAAAAAGCUUUAAAAACAAGCAACUUAGCUGGGCGUUGGUUUCGAAGGCCUUUAAUCCCAGCACUCGGCAGGCAGAGGCAGGCGGAUUUCUGAGUUCAAGGCCAGCCUGGUCUACAGAGUGAGUUCCAGGACAGCCAGGGCUACACGGAGAAACUCUGUCUGGAGGGGAAAAAAAAGCAACUUAACCUAUUGAAAUGGAAAUGCAAAAUCUAUCUGACAUCCACUUGCUUCUCCCAGCUCUUAGUCUCAGGUAGUGAGUAAUGAGUUGAAAGGUUCCAAGGAGGUGUCCCAAGACUGGAGGACAA